This 169-nucleotide ribosomal RNA is filed under the name uncultured bacterium. Its description in RNAcentral is "partial 16S ribosomal RNA". It matches the Rfam family "Bacterial small subunit ribosomal RNA", at positions 338 to 524 of the family's 1533-position model. The record is from RNAcentral.
CCUACGGGAGGCAGCAGUGGGGAAUAUUGCACAAUGGGGGAAACCCUGAUGCAGCGACGCCGCGUGAGCGAUGAAGUAUUUCGGUAUGUAAAGCUCUAUCAGCAGGGAAGAAAAUGACGGUACCUGACUAAGAAGCACCGGCUAAAUACGUGCCAGCAGCCGCGGUAAU